Molecule: RNA transcript, 1688 nt
Organism: Erigeron canadensis
Lineage: Eukaryota; Viridiplantae; Streptophyta; Magnoliopsida; Asterales; Asteraceae
Gene name: F-box protein SKIP19-like
Exons: 4
Source: RefSeq, a predicted model, not a curated record
UUUUUAGAAAAAUUAAAAGAAUGACUAGGGUUUACACGGGCCACCUCCGUGGUUACAAAUCUUCCCUGGGCAACGCAAGCGAAAAUGAUGCCGUCGUCGUCCACCUCUAAAUCAAAUCAUCAUCGUCGUCAAAAAGGCAAAAACAAAUCCGACUUUUUUCCAAAACCCCCAAAUCAACGGAUGAACCAUUUCAUUGAAAAUGAAAUCGUUGAAACAAUGAAGAUUGGAAAACUCAUUGGCGUCGAUUUCAAUACACCGGAUCAUGUCGACCAUCUCAGAAAGAUUAUUUCUGCUGAACAAGUGACAAAGCCAUCAACAUCAAAGUCAAGUCGACGAAAAGGCAAGAAGUCCAACUUUGUUCCGAAGCCCAAGCAGGUAUGGCAGGUGAAGCAACCGACAAGGAACUGGUUGGAUCUUCCGUCAGAUGUAAUGGCGAAUAUACUCUCUAGAAUUGGUGUGUUUGACAUACUUGACAAUGCCCAAAAAGUGUGCACUACUUGGCGUCGUAUCUGUAAAGAGCCUGCUAUGUGGAGGGUUGUUUCAAUGGACUCAUCAUAUUAUCCAAAGGGUGUAUUACAAACAAUUUGUAAGCAUGUUGUGGAUAGAAGCCAGGGCCAGAUGGUAGAUAUCUGUAUCAAGGGCUUUUGCGAUAAGGACCUUCUUCGGUAUAUUGCUGAUAGAUCCAGUCAGCUUAGAUGUCUAAAAAUUACUUAUUCUUAUAAUAAAGUGAGUGGAGUCUGGGGUGAAUCUUUGAAUAAGUUAUCAUUAUUGGAGGAACUCAGCAUUUGUGAAACAGAAUUCUCGCGUAAAGAUGUCGAAGCUGCUGGCCUCUUCUGUCCCUUGCUGAAAACACUCAAAGUUAAUCGAAAGUCAAAUAAAUACUAUAAUGAUGAUGAGGAUGAGUCCAGGCCUGGUAGGAAUACGUUAGCUGUAGCAAUUGGGAAAAACCUACCUGGGUUAAAGCACCUUGAAUUAAUUGAUGACACCAUGACGGAUGUUGGAUUAAGGGCGAUUCUAGAUGGAUGUAGUCACCUUGAAUUACUUGAUUUGCGUCGGUGUAUGUUCAUUGAUCUGAAGGGAGACCUUGGAAAAAGAUGUUCAGAACAGAUUAAACAUCUAAAGCUUCCUCAUGAUUCUCUUGAAGGCUGUCCUGAUAUUCCACAGUAUGAUUCUGAUGAGGGUUUUUUUGUAGACUCCGAUUUCGAUUGUGAUUACUUUGAUGAGUAUGAUGAGUAUGAUGAUUACACAUCCAUUGAUUAUGAUAAUUUAUAUAACUUUGAAGACCCCUUGGAGCAGUGGAUAGCUUACAAGGAUAUGUUGGAAGAAUUACACCUCAAUUGAUCUUGAUAAUUUAUAUAACUUUGAGAAUUGAAUGAUUGGAUGGCUUUUAAGCCUAUGUUGGAAGAAUAGUUUGCAAUGCAGAAAAAGGUGUGGCUCUUGGCUUCCAGAACAACCUUCUUUCUGGCUUUGACAGGAAAGCUCAAUUUGGUUAUUAUUUUUCUGCCAAUGGUUGUCAUUUUGUUGUUUUUUUUAAACCUCCAAACGUUUAUUGGUCAUGUCUCCAUCUUUGUGCUUCAAUUCUUGCAAACACUUGAGAAAAUGCUGUGGGAUUUUUUCUAUGUUUCUUGGAACUGAAACACGUUUUCUUGAUGGUUCUGAAUCUUUUUGAUUAUUGGCCUGUUACUACA